Molecule: long non-coding RNA, 1107 nt
Organism: Bubalus bubalis (water buffalo)
Lineage: Eukaryota; Metazoa; Chordata; Mammalia; Artiodactyla; Bovidae
Exons: 4
Source: RefSeq, a predicted model, not a curated record
CAGAGCUGAGUCAAGCUGCUUGUGGCCUUCCUGGAGUUGCUGCUGUCCCAGGGCCUGGCUUCCUGGGUUUCCUGCCCCGCUGUUGGCCUCGGAGGCUCUGCUCACAUGAGAAUCGUGAAUGAGGCUCUUUGUCCUUGCAGGGUGCGUGUAACCGUUGCUCACAUCUAUCCCAGACGUGAAUCUGUGAACCCAGGUGUGGGCCCCCCGGUAAAUCCAUCUCGACGCAUCUCCUCUGCACCCCACCUCCUCUCAACCCCCCAGCACAUGUUCCUUUCUUGAAGCAAGCCUAACAAGGAAAUGUGCCAAGCCCUGACCUUUGAAUUUCAAAUCUGUAUCCUGAAAGCAAGACUCAAAAGAUAAAGAAGAGUCAGAACAGUUGUGUCUGUGCCUUGACUUGCUAAGGUUUCCUGAGAAUGGGAGGGCAAGAAGGGAAACCCAGAACUGUGUGCCGAUGCAUGUCCCUACGCAGGGCUCUGGGACCCUGGCCCAGCCUCUCCGAGUGCCCAUGUUCUGAUGAAGGAACUGGAGUCCUGAGCGGACUGAAGAGUCUGGAGACGGAACCGGAGCAGGCUUGCUGGACCCAAGGCUGAGCAGGAGCGAGGCCAUCUUUGCAGACAUGGCAGGCCCACGGUGACACCCCGGCCAGGCAUCCUAGGACGGGGGAGCCUAGUGGGCUGCCAUCUAUGGGGUCGCACAGAGUCGGACACGACUGAAGUGACUCAGCAGCAGCAGCGGCAUAUUAUCUCAUAGUUGUUGUGAUGUGCAUUCAGUGACCAAAGAUGCAGGUGACUCGAAGGACUGUAGCAGAUGGAAGCCAAGAGAGGAGUCUGGCUUUUCCAGUUGCUGUCAGAGAUAUCCUUGGGUUCCCAUCUGCAUCAUCAACCCCAGUCUGACUUGAAAAUUCUUGGAAGACAGGAGAGGAAGGACAAGCCAACUGUUCUGCAAACCUUCAGGACAGAUGACCUGGAAAGUUCCUCAGACCUUUAAGGGGCUGCUACUGCUGCUGCUGCUGCUGCUAAGUCGCUUCAGUCGUGUCCGACUCUGUGCGACCCCACAGACAGCAGCCCACCAGGCUUCCCCGGCCCUGGGAUUCUCCGGGCAAGAACA